CCCGUCACACCACGGAAGUUGGGGGCGCCCGAAGCCACUUAGCUAACCCUUUUGGGAAGCGAGUGUCGAAGGUGAAAUCAAUAACUGGGGUGAAGUCGUAACAAGGUAAC
RNAcentral lists this ribosomal RNA (110 nucleotides) under uncultured bacterium. RNAcentral's name for it is "partial 16S ribosomal RNA". It matches the Rfam family "Bacterial small subunit ribosomal RNA", at positions 1393 to 1500 of the family's 1533-position model. The record is from RNAcentral.